AUGGCUGUCGUCAGCUCGUGUCGUGAGAUGUUGGGUUAAGUCCCGCAACGAGCGCAACCCUUAUUUCAUGUUGCCAGCGCGUAAUGGCGGGGACUCGUGAGAGACUGCCGGGGUCAACUCGGAGGAAGGUGGGGAUGACGUCAAGUCAUCAUGCCCCUUAUGUCCAGGGCUUCACACAUGCUACAAUGGCCGGUACAAAGGGCUGCGAUGCCGCGAGGCUUAGCGAAUCCUUUAAAGCCGGUCUCAGUUCGGAUCGGGGUCUGCAACUCGACCCCGUGAAGUCGGAGUCGCUAGUAAUCGCAGAUCAGCAACGCUGCGGUGAAUACGUUCCCGGGCCUUGUACACACCGCCCGUCACGUCAUGAAAGUCGGUAACACCCGAAGCCAGUGGCCCAACCUUUUAGGAGGGAGCCGUCGAAGGUGGGGUCGGUGAUUGGGGUGAAGUCGUAACAAGGUAGCCGUACCGGAAGGUGCGGCUGGAUCACCUCCUUUCUAAGGAGUCACUGUUCGGGCCAUUCCGGCUCGGAUACUCCUAGUCGAUCACUGACUAUUCGCUGUCAACUCCAUCCCGCCCCUGGCGGACCGCACAUCGUUUUUCGAUGUCCCGUCCGUGAGGCCUGUGGGCCCUGGGGAUGGCAACGGGCAUCACUAUUCCGUUUUGAGGGAGUGACCUCUGGUACCUGCUCUUCGAGCAACCCGGAGCGAUUCCGACCCUCCGACGCGACGCCGACCUUCGCCACUUGUGGCAGGUCGUCGGCCUCUCGCCCGUGCUCCCCGCACCCCCGCAUCGGUCUGUUCUUUGAUGCCUGUGGCCCGGCGGGCGCGCUGUGCGCACCUUGAGAAUUCCAUAGCGAGCACGAGCAUCUAUGUUCUCCAAGUUAUAAAGAGUCAACGGCGGAUGCCUUGGCGCCUGAAGCCGAAGAAGGACGUGGGAGGCUGCGAUAAGCCACGGGGAGCUGCCUACCAAGCGCGGAUCCGUGGACGUCCGAAUGGGGAAACCCGG
Molecule: small RNA, 1002 nt
Filed under: uncultured Mycobacterium sp.
Lineage: Bacteria; Bacillati; Actinomycetota; Actinomycetes; Mycobacteriales; Mycobacteriaceae
Description: bacterial SSU rRNA
Rfam family: Bacterial small subunit ribosomal RNA (bases 1-491)
Source: RNAcentral